This 269-nucleotide ribosomal RNA is filed under the name uncultured bacterium. RNAcentral describes it as "partial 16S ribosomal RNA". It matches the Rfam family "Bacterial small subunit ribosomal RNA", at positions 524 to 794 of the family's 1533-position model. The record is from RNAcentral.
GACGAACCGUGCGAACGUUGUUCGGAAUCACUGGGCUUAAAGGGCGCGUAGGCGGCCCGACCAGUCAAGGGUGAAAGCCCCGGCUCAACCGGGAAGGGCCCUCGAUACUGUCGGGCUGGAGGGAGGUAGGGGCAGCGGGAACUUCCGGUGGAGCGGUGAAAUGCGUUGAUAUCGGAAGGAACGCCGGUGGCGAAAGCGCGCUGCUGGACCUCUGCUGACGCUGAGGCGCGAAAGCCAGGGGAGCGAACGGGAUUAGAAACCCUAGUAGU